GUCAGAGCUACAAGCUAACUGGAGAUUAGAAAAUAAGACUACGUCUGUGUUUCCAAUGAAGCUGCGCCACUGUAACAGGGGGGGAAAACCCUGGCGUCUGUUUCUGUUUGCAUGCUUGGACCAUGCUUAGUGUUUUCACUGAUGACCUGUUGGGUUGAAGGAACAACGCAGCGGCCCUUUGGUGUCCUAUAUCAGCAGAGAGGGAACUGAACGCUGAUCUCUGAAGUGUUAAUGUUUGAGUUUCACAGGAUAACCAGGUUCAAUUGUUGUUUCUUUUCUUUAAAUGAUAUGAUCAUUAAAGGGUAACUACCGUUUUUUUUCCAACCUUU
Molecule: long non-coding RNA, 329 nt
Organism: Sander lucioperca (pikeperch)
Lineage: Eukaryota; Metazoa; Chordata; Actinopteri; Perciformes; Percidae
Exons: 2
Source: RefSeq, a predicted model, not a curated record